Molecule: long non-coding RNA, 3810 nt
Filed under: Brassica napus (rape)
Lineage: Eukaryota; Viridiplantae; Streptophyta; Magnoliopsida; Brassicales; Brassicaceae
Description: long non-coding RNA (BNAP_LNC004107)
Source: RNAcentral
AAAGUGUUUCACUACGGAUCAAUUAGCUUAAUAGUGGAGCCAUGUAGGUCGGCUCACUUGAAGGCCAUGGAAGUUGCGAAAGAAGCAGGAGCUCUUCUUUCCUACGACCCAAACCUCAGGGAACCUCUGUGGCCAUCAAAGGAAGAAGCCAAGACACAGAUCAUGAGCAUCUGGGACAAGGCUGAGAUCAUCAAGGUGAGCGACGUCGAGCUCGAGUUUCUCACUGGAAGUAACAAGAUCGACGAUGAAACCGCAAUGUCCUUGUGGCACCCCAACUUGAAGCUCUUGCUUGUCACUCUCGGUGAAAAGGGUUGUCGGUAUUACGCCAAGGUAAACUCACUAUAACAUCUUUUACGUGCAUUUACCAUCAUCAUCAUUCAUCAUGAUUGUGUCUUGUGUGCUGUGUCCAUUAGGUGAUACCAGAAGGCAAAACUAGUAUGCUAUAUAUUAUACAUUUCAUAAUUAUUUAUAUACUAGCAUGUUUUUGGAAAGGAGCCGAGAAACGUAUUAAAAAUAUUAAUCAGAACAGAGGAGAUUUAAAAUACAUUAGGAAUCAUUUGUGCUACUCAAUUUAAUAUUGUUUGGUAGAUCUCACCUAAUGCUUAAUUACAAAAUUGAAUUCUUUUUUCGUGGACCCUCUAGAAAUCAAUUGAGGGUCACAAAAGUCGUGAUCCCUAUGGUUCUUUGUAUUUUCAAACGUGACGAAUUUUCUUCUUGUCAAGAAAAGGAAGAAGUUACUUUGUGCUUUUCUCAUUUGCCGAAUCACAUGAACAGUAAAAUGAUUCGUAUACUUCUUUAUUACGUCAAUGACUUUUGUGUCUCCCACUAAAAUUGGGGUUCUUUGCUUAUAUUCACUGUGUAGAAUUUCCGUGGAUCCGUUGACCCUUUCCAUGUGAACGCGGUGGAUACUACCGGAGCUGGAGAUUCCUUUGUUGGUGCUCUCCUAAACAAGAUUGCCGAUGACCACUCCAUCCUCGAGGUAAGCAUCUAAUUAAUUAUUGAAUGAAUCCUCUUUAGGUUAAAGAUGAUAUUAAAAUGUUUUAAAUUCAUUAACAGGACGAAGAGAGAUUGAGAAAGGUGCUAAGAUUCGCAAACGCUUGUGGAGCAAUAACCACGACCAAAAAAGGAGCCAUUCCAGCUCUUCCUUCAGAUGCUGAAGUUCUCAGCUUUCUUGAAGGCAAGUAGAAAAAAAAAACAACUCUCAAGCUUUCUUAUGUAAUCUUGUUGUAAGAGAAACCAAUUAGGCACGCUAUGUUUUGUCUCUCUUCCUCAAAUGUAAUGAUUUAAAGGAAACUAUGCUUAAAAAAAAAAAAACUGUUUUUAACCUAUUCAGCAGGUCAUUUUUCUUCUUUGGAGGUUUUUUAUGAUAAAAAUGUCACUUUGAAGGUUAAAAGUGUUAGUGAAAAAACUUCAAGGUUUAAAGUGCUAGUAAGUGACACUUUCAAGGUUUUUUAUGCGAUUUUCCCUUACAUAUUUGCAUAUACCCCUAAACAAACUUCUUAUCUUUGUUUAGUAAAAUAUACUGUCAUUGAUUUUAUUUUCUUAAAAAAAAUCCAUUUUUCAAAAUUUCGUUUUUAACCGGGAAUCUAUAUUAUUCUUAAACACGUGAGACGGUAAGAGUACGUUGCUGGUGUUUUGUCAUUAUCCCAUUAAUCAGACAAGAUACUACCAUACAUCAUGAUAUAUACAAUACAAAUGUACUAAAUAUAUAAUUUACUCUAUAGAUUUAUUACGAGUAAAUGACUCCUCCUGAUAUACGAUUACCACUUUUAAUCUUGAUUAAGAAAGAAAAUAGAAAAAUCUAAGAUUCGGGUAAACUUUUGAAAAAGGUAAUAAGAUUUUGACAAGAUUUUUUGCAUUUUAUUAGAAAUUUCAUGUUUUUAGAAGAUAUAUAUAUUCAGAUAUUUCUAUGGAUAAUGGAUAUUUCAAGAAUAUAUUUACGUUUAUAUCUCAUAAACAUAAUCAACGGUCAUAUCUCAUAAUAUAUUUUGACGAGAGUUUUUGCAUUUUAUUAGAAAUUCAAUGUUUUUAGCAGACAUUCCUUAGAUAUUUUUAUAGAUUAUGGAUAUUUCAGAAAAUAUUUAUAUUAUCUUAAAUGAUUACGUUUAUUAUCUCAUCACCAGUUACAACUCUUGGUCGUCCUCUAUAUAAACCAUUCUCUCCUCUUCAUUUCAUAUCAUUUCCCUUCUAUAAUUUUUUAAUAUCUCCGAUUUGAUCCAACGAUCCACAGAUCUCGUUUCCAAAUGGCAUCCAACGGCGAGAAACCACUGAUCGUCAGCUUCGGCGAGAUGCUCAUCGACUUCGUCCCCACCGAGUCCGGCAUCUCGCUCGCUGAAGCACCAGGCUUCCUCAAAGCUCCCGGCGGCGCUCCGGCUAACGUCGCCAUCGCCGUCUCUCGUCUCGGCGGACGAUCCGCCUUCGUCGGAAAACUCGGCGACGACGAGUUCGGUCACAUGUUGGCUGGGAUCCUGAGGAAAAACGGCGUCGCUGAUCAGGGGAUCAACUUCGAUACCGGAGCUAGAACCGCCUUGGCGUUCGUGACGUUGAAGGCCGACGGAGAUCGGGAGUUCAUGUUUUACCGGAAUCCUAGCGCCGACAUGUUGCUCCGUCCCGAUGAACUCAACCUCGAGCUCAUCAGAUCGGUACGUGUAUCUCUUCUCUCUCUAUCCCUUUCAAGAGAUCUGGAGGGAAGUAGAGAUUCAUUAGUCUAGUUUUUUUUAAAUUUUCGUCUAGAAGAUAAUCUCACUCACUCUAAUGGGAUAUGUAUCAAUUAAUGCUAACUAACGGUGACUUUUGUCUCAUCUCAUUGCGAUUUUUUCGCGGGUCUUAUUAGUAUUCUUCUUCCUCGCACGGAUGUGCGUUGUUCCACGUGGGAUCACGUGAUUUGUCCAAAGCACAUGACUUCUUGUUUUUUUUAUCAUCAGAAAAUUGGAAAAAAAAAACAUGAAAGUGAUAUGAAAAUUUUCAUUUUUUUUUGUCUAAAAAUAAAAGUUCAGCCGUUUUUGUUUAACUAGUAUCGUGAUUAGGCAAAAGCAAUAUUUUUUUGCUAAUAAAACAUAUGUUCUGAUUUGUGGAAAUAGGGAGUGAUGUUUUUAGAUUAAUUAGUUAAAGCCGUGUGUUCUCUUCUUGAUCCAAAUUGAAUUACUGAAUUUUUGAGUAUUUUCGGGCUCAUUGAUGUGAUCAAAAGUGAAUGUUCUUCACAUAACAACAUGUGUGUAAAGUGGAUCUUUAUGGCGAUGGUGAAAUGAUCGCUAGGUUUGAAAUUGUUUUUUUUUGCGUAAUUUUGGUAAAAGACGUACCUUUACAGCUAAUCUCAAUGGCGAGAACCUUUUACUUUUCUUGAACAGUUUGAUAAUGAUUGACCCCAUUGUAGUUUUUUUACAUGAAACAACAAAGAAUCAAUAUCAGAAUGGGCCCCUUCGAAAUUAUUCCUUAUGAAUAAUGAUCAAACUUGUGCUACUUUGUGAGUUUUUUGGGGUGUACCGUGUACCGGCUUUUACUUGAUUUUUGUAAAUUUUGAAUUUUGUUGUGGUUUGUUUUUGCAGGCUAAAGUGUUUCACUACGGAUCAAUUAGCUUAAUAGUGGAGCCAUGUAGGUCGGCUCACUUGAAGGCCAUGGAAGUUGCGAAAGAAGCAGGAGCUCUUCUUUCCUACGACCCAAACCUCAGGGAACCUCUGUGGCCAUCAAAGGAAGAAGCCAAGACACAGAUCAUGAGCAUCUGGGACAAGGCUGAGAUCAUCAAGGUGAGCGACGUCGAGCUCGAGUUUCUCACUGGAAGUAACAAGAUCGACGAUGAAACCGCAAUGUCCU